UCAAGCGCGAGAAGGGCGUUUGGUGGAUGCCUUGGCAGUAAGAGGCGAUGAAGGACGUGAUACUCUGCGAUAAGCUUUGGGAAGUCGAGAAUAGACGCUAUACCCAAAGAUCUCCGAAUGGGGCAACCCAACUGAUACUUUGUUAUUGUUACACUUUUGUGUAAUCAAUAAUGGGGUAAAACAGUUAUUAAUUACCUGAAUACAUAGGGUUUUUAAAGCAAACCUGGGGAACUGAAACAUCUAAGUACCCAGAGGAAAGGAAAUCAAUAGAUACUCCCGUAGUAGUGGCGAGCGAACCGGGACCAGCCGAGCGAUGAAUGUGACUAGAACCAGUUGGAAAGCUGGGCAAUAUGGGUGACAGCCCCGUAUAGGAAGCAUGAUUUGACGUAUUAAGUAGGGCGGAACACGUGAAAUUCUGUCUGAACAUGGGGGGACCACCCUCUAAGGCUAAGUACUCCUUACUGACCGAUAGCGAACCAGUACCGUGAGGGAAAGGUGAAAAGCACCCCGACGAGGGGAGUGAAACAGUUUCUGAAACCGGACGCCUACAAACAGUUGGAGCCUCUUUAUGGGGUGACAGCGUACCUUUUGUAUAAUGGGUCAACGACUUGGUCUUACUAGCAAGCUUAAGCCGAUAGGUGUAGGCGCAGCGAAAGCGAGUCUUAAUAGGGCGAAUGAGUUAGUAGGAUCAGACCCGAAACCGAGUGAUCUAGGCAUGAGCAGGUUGAAGGUAAGGUAACACUUACUGGAGGACCGAACCCACAUCUGUUGAAAAAGAUCGGGAUGACUUGUGCCUAGGGGUGAAAGGCCAAUCAAACUCGGAGAUAGCUGGUUCUCCGCGAAAUCUAUUUAGGUAGAGCGUCAUCCGAAUACCCCGGGGGGUAGAGCACUGGAUGGGUAAUGGGGCCCCACAGGCUUACUGAUCCUAACCAAACUCCGAAUACCCGGGAGUAAUAGAUGGCAGACACACUGCGGGUGCUAACGCCCGUAGUGAAAAGGGAAACAACCCUGACCGACAGUUAAGGCCCCUAAUUCAUGGCUAAGUGGAAAAGCAGGUGAGACGACCAUAACAACCAGGAAGUUGGCUUAGAAGCAGCCAUCUUUUAAAGAUAGCGUAACAGCUCACUGGUCUAAUUUAAGUUAUCCUGCGGCGAAGAUGUACCGGGGCUCAAGCCAUGAGCCGAAGCUAGGGAUGCAAUUUAUUGCAUGGUAGCGGAGCGUUCUGUGAUAUAGAACGCUGCGUCUUUAGUAUCUUAGGAUAUUGUGGACGCAAUGUUCUGACUGUGAAGCCGGCGCGUAAGCGAUCCGGUGGAGUGAUCAGAAGUGAGAAUGUUGACAUGAGUAGCGACAAACAGGGUGAGAGACCCUGUCGCCGAAAGUCCAAGGGUUCCUGCUUAAAGCUAAUCUGAGCAGGGUAAGCCGACCCCUAAGGCGAGGCCGAAAGGCGUAGUCGAUGGGAACCAGUUUAAUAUUACUGGGCCAGGAGAUGGUGACGGAUCGAAAGCGUAGUGACUCCUUAUCGGAUUGAAGUUGCUGCCGGACGGUUCCUGGAAAUAGCCCUCCAUUAGAUCGUACCCUAAACCAACACAGGUGGACUGGUAGAGAAUACCAAGGCGCUUGAGAGAACUACAUUGAAGGAACUCGGCAAAAUGCCUCCGUAAGUUCGCGAGAAGGAGGCCCCAUCAGAAGGCAACUUUUGGUGGGGGGCACAGACCAGGGGGUGGCGACUGUUUACUAAAAACACAGGGCUCUGCGAAGUCGUAAGACGACGUAUAGGGUCUGACGCCUGCCCGGUGCCUGAAGGUUAAAAGGAGGGGUGAGAGCUCCGAAUUGAAGCCCAGGUAAACGGCGGCCGUAACUAUAACGGUCCUAAGGUAGCGAAAUUCCUUGUCGGG
This 1895-nucleotide ribosomal RNA is filed under the name seawater metagenome. RNAcentral's name for it is "bacterial LSU rRNA". It matches the Rfam family "Bacterial large subunit ribosomal RNA", at positions 1 to 1976 of the family's 2925-position model. The record is from RNAcentral.